GACGAACGCUGGCGGCGUGCUUAACACAUGCAAGUCGAGCGGAAAGGCCCUUUCGGGGGUACUCGAGCGGCGAACGGGUGAGUAACACGUGAGUAAUCUGCCCCUGGCUUUGGGAUAGCCACCGGAAACGGUGAUUAAUACCGGAUACGACCACUUCUCGCAUGGGAUGGUGGUGGAAAGUUUUUCGGCCAGGGAUGUGCUCGCGGCCUAUCAGCUUGAUGGUGAGGUAAUGGCUCACCAUGGCUUCGACGGGUCGCCGGCCUGAGAGGGUGGCGGGUCACACUGGGACUGAGACACGGCCCAGACUCCUACGGGAGGCAGCAGUGGGGAAUAUUGGACAAUGGGCGGAAGCCUGAUCCAGCAACGCCGCGUGAGGGAUGACGGCCUUCGGGUUGUAAACCUCUUUCAGCAGGGACGAAGCGCAAGUGACGGUACCUGCAGAAGAAGCACCGGCCAACUACGUGCCAGCAGCCGCCGUAA
Molecule: ribosomal RNA, 480 nt
Filed under: uncultured bacterium
Lineage: Bacteria
Description: partial 16S ribosomal RNA
Rfam family: Bacterial small subunit ribosomal RNA
Source: RNAcentral